UACGGAGGUCCCGAGCGUUGUUCGGAUUCAUUGGGCGUAAAGGGUGCGUAGGCGGCGGGGCAAGUCUGAUGUGAAAUCCCGGGGCUCAACCCCGGAACUGCAUUGGAUACUGCCUUGCUUGAGUACUGGAGAGGGAACUGGAAUUUACGGUGUAGCAGUGAAAUGCGUAGAGAUCGUAAGGAAGGCCAGUGGCGAAGGCGAGUUCCUGGACAGUGACUGACGCUGAGGCACGAAGGCCAGGGGAGCAAACGGG
This 253-nucleotide ribosomal RNA is filed under the name uncultured bacterium. RNAcentral describes it as "partial 16S ribosomal RNA". It matches the Rfam family "Bacterial small subunit ribosomal RNA", at positions 524 to 776 of the family's 1533-position model. The record is from RNAcentral.